Molecule: ribosomal RNA, 840 nt
Filed under: uncultured bacterium
Lineage: Bacteria
Description: bacterial SSU rRNA
Rfam family: Bacterial small subunit ribosomal RNA
Source: RNAcentral
UUGCAAACUGAAGAUGGCGACGGGCGCACGGGUGAGUAACACGUAUCCAACCUGCCGAUAACUCUGGAAUAGCCUUUCGAAAGAAAGAUUAAUACCGGAUAGUAUACGAAUAUCGCAUGAUAUUUUUAUUAAAGAAUUUCGGUUAUCGAUGGGGAUGCGUUCCAUUAGUUUGUUGGCGGGGUAACGGCCCACCAAGACUACGAUGGAUAGGGGUUCUGAGAGGAAGGUCCCCCACAUUGGAACUGAGACACGGUCCAAACUCCUACGGGAGGCAGCAGUGAGGAAUAUUGGUCAAUGGGCGAGAGCCUGAACCAGCCAAGUAGCGUGAAGGAUGAAGGCUCUAUGGGUCGUAAACUUCUUUUAUAUGGGAAUAAAGUUUUCCACGUGUGGAAUUUUGUAUGUACCAUAUGAAUAAGGAUCGGCUAACUCCGUGCCAGCAGCCGCGGUAAUACGGAGGAUCCGAGCGUUAUCCGGAUUUAUUGGGUUUAAAGGGAGCGUAGGUGGAUUGUUAAGUCAGUUGUGAAAGUUUGCGGCUCAACCGUAAAAUUGCAGUUGAAACUGGCAGUCUUGAGUACAGUAGAGGUGGGCGGAAUUCGUGGUGUAGCGGUGAAAUGCUUAGAUAUCACGAAGAACUCCGAUUGCGAAGGCAGCUCACUAGACUGUCACUGACACUGAUGCUCGAAAGUGUGGGUAUCAAACAGGAUUAGAUACCCUGGUAGUCCACACAGUAAACGAUGAAUACUCGCUGUUUGCGAUAUACAGUAAGCGGCCAAGCGAAAGCAUUAAGUAUUCCACCUGGGGAGUACGCCGGCAACGGUGAAACUCAAAGGAAUUGACGGG